AAUUCUAUUCUCAUUAGGUAAUUGUAAGUCUCAAAACCCUAGCUACCUUCUUCAAUCUCUUUAUUCUGAAUUUGUAAUGUAUAUGUAUAAUUAGCAGAUCUUUCCUAUUUUCAAUUUGUUAUCAUUGAAAUUUCAAUUCGCCUUUUGUCUUCCCGAGGAGAGGAAGAGGGAUCCAAAAAAUGCUUUGAAUUGUGUGAAAUUUUAUGUGAUUUUACGUAUGUAUAUAUGUGUGUGUGUGUGUGGCUGCCCGUGUGUAUUUGGAUAUAGAUUAGUUUAUUUUAAAUGUAAAUAUUUAGAUAUUCUUGUUUAUUAUUACAGCAGCAUAUGAUACAGCAAUAAGCAACUUCAUUAUUUAUUGUAAUUAAUUAAGCAGGAGUCUUUGCUAAUAUUAAUCAUUAGAUUUUGAGUGUGUUAA
This 415-nucleotide unclassified non-coding RNA is filed under the name Hevea brasiliensis (rubber tree). Lineage: Eukaryota; Viridiplantae; Streptophyta; Magnoliopsida; Malpighiales; Euphorbiaceae. The record is from RNAcentral.